This 440-nucleotide ribosomal RNA is filed under the name uncultured bacterium. RNAcentral describes it as "partial 16S ribosomal RNA". It matches the Rfam family "Bacterial small subunit ribosomal RNA", at positions 338 to 795 of the family's 1533-position model. The record is from RNAcentral.
CCUACGGGAGGCAGCAGUGGGGAAUAUUGCACAAUGGGCGAAACCCUGAUGCAGCAACGCCGCGUGAGUGAGGAAGUAUUUCGGUAUGUAAAGCUCUAUUAGCAGGGAAGAAGAGGACGGUACCUGAGUCAGAUGCGCUGGAUAUUUACGUGCCAGCACGCGCGGUAAUACGGCGGGGGCAAGCGUUAUCCGGAUUUACUGGGUGUAAAGGGAGCGUAGACGGUCUGACAAGGCUGUAGUGAAAGCCGGGGGCUCAACCCCGGGAGUGCUUUGGAAGCUGCCUGACUGCGGUGCUGGAGAGGCAAGCGGAAUUCCUGGUGUAGCGGUGAAAGGCGUAGAUAUUAGGAAGAACACCGGUGGCGAGGGCGGCUUGCUGGACGGUAACUGACGUUGAGGCUCGAAAGCGUGGGGAGCAAACAGGAUUAGAUACCCGGGUAGUC